RNAcentral lists this long non-coding RNA (755 nucleotides) under Equus caballus (horse). RNAcentral describes it as "lncRNA (ENSECAG00000058144.1)". Lineage: Eukaryota; Metazoa; Chordata; Mammalia; Perissodactyla; Equidae. The record is from RNAcentral.
GUAAAACAAAACCCCUUGGGAGGGGGGAGUAUGCUGGGGAAAGAAAGGAGAUGGGGCAGCAGCAGGAGGACCAGAAUCUUCUUUGGGGUAAAAUACAGAAACUGUGAUCAGAGGAGAUCAGCCUGUUGGCUUGGGCUGCACCCAGUGGGCACCUGUCUGCAAUGUGGAUGAGGGAGGCUGCAGGGGGCUGGGCCAGUGAGGAGUCAAGUUCAGCAUGAAGAAGGAAGGUGUCGGUGCCUGAAGAUGUCUUGGAUGUAGCAUUUACCUAUAAGUGGGAAGAACGAUCAGAGUCAUCUGCAAGGUCAUGCUGGAAGAAUCCCUGGACAUUAUAUAUAAAAUAUAUGAAAGAAGACUCUUAAAGAUGGAGAGAAGAAAAUAGACCUGCUAGGGGCCUCAGGACACAAGGAACAACAUGGUGGAAUAAAGGAGUUCCAGAAAAUAGCUAUAAAGAAUGUUAGGAGGCUCUGUGCUGCCAGCUUCAUUUCCCGGGAUAAAGCUGAUGAAAUUAUCUGUGAUUCUGACAGCUUUUCAGGGGCCGCCCCAUGACCUAGUGGUUAAGUUUGCAGCUCUGCUUUGGCAGCCCAGGGUUUCACUGAUUCAGAUCCUGGGCACGGAUAUGGCACCACUCAUCAAGCCAUGCUGAAGCAGCGUCCCACAUAGCACAACCAGAAGGACCUACAACUAGAAUGUACAACUAUGUACUGGGGGGCUUUGGGGAGAAGAAGAGGGGAAAAAAAAGGAAGAUUGGCGGCAGA